UACGAAGGGGGCUAGCGUUGCUCGGAAUCACUGGGCGUAAAGGGCGCGUAGGCGGCGUUUUAAGUCGGGGGUGAAAGCCUGUGGCUCAACCACAGAAUGGCCUUCGAUACUGGGACGCUUGAGUAUGGUAGAGGUUGGGGGAACUGCGCGUGUAGAGGUGAAAUUCGUAGAUAUUCGCAAGAACACCGGUGGCGAAGGCGGCCAACUGGACCAUCACUGACGCUGAGGCGCGAAAGCGUGGGGAGCAAACAGG
RNAcentral lists this ribosomal RNA (253 nucleotides) under uncultured bacterium. Its description in RNAcentral is "partial 16S ribosomal RNA". It matches the Rfam family "Bacterial small subunit ribosomal RNA", at positions 524 to 776 of the family's 1533-position model. The record is from RNAcentral.